This 253-nucleotide ribosomal RNA is filed under the name uncultured bacterium. Its description in RNAcentral is "partial 16S ribosomal RNA". It matches the Rfam family "Bacterial small subunit ribosomal RNA", at positions 524 to 776 of the family's 1533-position model. The record is from RNAcentral.
UACAAAGGUCUCAAGCGUUGUUCGGAUUCAUUGGGCGUAAAGGGUGCGUAGGUGGCGCCGUAAGUCGGGUGUGAAAUUUCGGAGCUUAACUCCGAAACUGCAUUCGAUACUGCGGUGCUUGAGGACUGGAGAGGAGACUGGAAUUUACGGUGUAGCGGUGAAAUGCGUAGAUAUCGUAAGGAAGACCAGUGGCGAAGGCGGGUCUCUGGACAGUUCCUGACGCUGAGGCACGAAGGUCAGGGGAGCAAACGGG